GGUUAACGCUGGCGGCGUGCCUAACGCAUGCAAGUCGAGCGAGGGCUCAUUUCCCGCAAGGGAGGUGGGUUCCUAGCGGCGAACGGGUGAGUAACACGUGGGCAACCUUUCCCAUCGUGGGGAGUAACACCGGAACCGGUACGCUAAUGCCGCCAUGAGGUCGACUGGGGGCGAUCCCUCGGUGAAGAAAGACAGUAAUGCGCGAUGGGGUGGGCCCGCGGCCUAUCAGCUAGUCGGUGGGGUGANGGCCUACCGAGGCAUUGACGGGUAGCUGGUCUGAGAGGACGGCCAGCCACACGGGGACUGAGACACGGCCCCG
Molecule: ribosomal RNA, 319 nt
Filed under: uncultured bacterium
Lineage: Bacteria
Description: bacterial SSU rRNA
Rfam family: Bacterial small subunit ribosomal RNA
Source: RNAcentral